GAUGAAGAACGCAGCGAAAUGCGAUAAGUAAUGUGAAUUUCAGAAUUCAGUGAAUCAUCGAAUCUUUGAACGCACAUUGCGCCCGCCAGUAUUCUGGCGAGCAUGCCUGUUCGAGCGUCAUUUCGACCAUCAAGCCCCAGGCUUGUGUUGGAGCCCUGCGGCUGCCGCAGCCUCCCAAAACCAGUGGCGGGCUCGCUAUCACACCGAGUGCAGUAGUUUACUCUUCGCUCAGGGCGUGUGGCGGGUGCUAGCCGUGAAACCCCCAACUUCUCAAGGUUGACCUCGGAUCAGGUAGGAAUACCCGCUGAACUUAAGCAUAUCAAUAAGCGGAGGA
Molecule: unclassified non-coding RNA, 334 nt
Filed under: soil metagenome
Description: partial contains 5.8S ribosomal RNA, internal transcribed spacer 2, and large subunit ribosomal RNA
Rfam family: 5.8S ribosomal RNA (bases 1-120)
Source: RNAcentral